AUGUUCAUUAUCGACAGGAUGGUUCAUUGCAGGGAUAACCCGAUGAGACCUUUGUUUUUCUCUUCUUUUGUGCAGCUAAUCCUUGAUGUCAAUGUGAUAGUUUCCAAAGAAGAAGAUUUGACCGAGGCUUUAAAAAUUUUGGAUUGUUGUGGUGUUUCUAAACUAAGGUAUUACAUGGACUCUGCUGGUGACUACUACUACCUUGAGGAAUCUGGAUGA
Vicia faba (fava bean) is the source of this 219-nucleotide non-coding RNA. Lineage: Eukaryota; Viridiplantae; Streptophyta; Magnoliopsida; Fabales; Fabaceae. The record is from the annotation of a GenBank genome assembly.